RNAcentral lists this long non-coding RNA (4418 nucleotides) under Oncorhynchus kisutch (coho salmon). RNAcentral's name for it is "lncRNA (ENSOKIG00005021775.1)". The record is from RNAcentral. Lineage: Eukaryota; Metazoa; Chordata; Actinopteri; Salmoniformes; Salmonidae.
AUGUCAUAUCAGAGAGGACGCAAUGUUUCAAUUUGUCACUUUUUGCUUAAAGGUCAGUACCUGUCCAGCCUUCCAGAAGUUUUUGAGAGGGCGAAGACUGUGGCGCCGGAGUUGAAGCACAUCAAAGUUGUUUUACCAUGGCACAUGAUCGGGAUGGACCUCAUCGGCUCCUUCACGAAAUCCAGGAAAGGCAACAGCUGGUGUCUGACGGCGACCGAUCACUUUACCAAGUGGAUGGAGGCAAUACCCAUUAAGUUCAGUAAAGGAAGAGAACGUGCUUAACUCUAAAUACCCAUCUGCAACCCAUUAAAAAGGGUGCUUGGAACCAAAAAUAGAUUUUAGUUUUUUUAUGAUACAAAACUAGUGAGACCACCUCCAAGGAUAUGGUGGGCAUCUUCAACACCCACUAUUCUCCUGAGGUCAUCUUGAGUGUCCGAGGUCAGGUACGGAUUGUUAUAGGUUAUAUUCUGUCACCAAUGGUUUGUUUUGUUUAUUUUGUUACAAUCUGUUUUUGUUUUUCCAUGGUAGAUAAUCAGACAUAUUUCAAUAUCUUACAUUAUCAAUAGAUAUCACUUUCCUACCCCCCUCCUCCAGGUUUGGAGAAUGGACCAACCAGGCCAUUGUGAUUGACUUAGUGUUGUUUGUCUAUUGCUAUUUUUGCUUAACGGUCUUUCAGAUCACUGAAACCCCACCUGAUGUGAUGGAAGUUGUCGAAACCAGAUCAGGACGCCUUUGAGAAUUACCUUCAGGCACGGACUGAGAAGGAUGUGGAGGUCUUUGACCAUAUAAAAAUUAUUGUCCGUUGUUUUCUGGACCUCCAAGAGCUAUGUAAGAAAAGUAUUUGUAAUAUGAAAUAUAAUUGCAUGUGCUCCUGUCAUCCAACAAGGUGAGACUGAACAUGGACAAGGCGCAGGAAAAACAGAAGGAGAGCUACCGGAGCAGAGUCAAGAAUUGGACCAAGUGCUACGACAUCCGGGCAAAUGACACGAAAGGAAGGCAGAGACCUUGGAAACCUCGCUGCUCCUAGCUGUGGUCCCGAUCUGUUAAAGUGAAUAGAAAAAAUUCAGAUAAUAACUAUUUGCAUUUGCACACAAAAUUACCUGAAGCUAGUUUCAGUUUCCCUAACACUGACAUUUUUCUCAUGGUCUUCCUAGGGUUACCUAGGGUUACCUAGGAAGCUAACUAUCUUCUGCAGUUGGACGGUCUACCACUGGAAGCAUUGACGCCCUACACUUAAGUGAAGCCCAAUUUACAAAGGAGGUUAAGCUUUGGUUGACAUUUGAGAAAGCAAGAAAUGGUUGUUAUACUAAGCUUACAAAAAUGUACCUCUUCAAUUUACCUCUCCAAAUGACUUUAGGACCAUCGACUGUCCGAGCCCCCCAGGAGGUAUCCCAUCUACCAGAACCAGUGAGUUCGGAUCAGUCUGAUUCUCUGUGCUCUGAGUCGGAGGGGGACUAGCUUGAGGUAGGCUACACCUUCCAAAAGUGUUGAAAAGUACAUAUCUCUGUUAAUCCAUCAAAUUUUCUCACAGUAAAGUGUAAUCUGUGUGUUUGCUUGUUUAUGUCGGUCUCCUACCAUGUCCCCUUCAACUCUGCUCCUGUUCUCCAAGAGCUAGGGGUUUUGGCCAACACCCAGAUCCACCUGAUGUCCUCCAUUACCAACCAUUCUUUUCAUUACGUCAUCUACAGCUACGGUUAUCAUUAUCUGCUAAGAAAGCUGUCUUGCGCUAUCAUACUGGGCACAUAAUAUGUGAGAGACACAGAUGAACUAAGAACAUUAGCACUGCAAAUCCUCUGAACAAAGUGAACAGCAGUGCCUGGACUUUGCAGUCUCCUUCUUCAAGUCCCCCCUUCUGAGACUGGGUGCCUGUUGAGAACAAGUGACAGGCAGAAUCACAGCAACCACCUCCUAUAUUCCACACACCAGAAUGAUGUAUUUAGUCUAUGAUUGCCAUGUGAAAAUAAAUUAAUGACACAACUGUACCAAAAAAUAUCUGCGUUUCUGUGUUACAAUCUUAAAUUUUGACAGGUUGGUUUUCACAACAUGUUCAUUGCUGUAAGGUAUCCUUUGAUGGUAUUUAUUUGUUCCUCAUUAGUCAUUGAAUGUAGUAAAUCCUGCCGUAGGGAAAGCGUGCAUCUCACAGGUGAGGGAAACGACCUCUUCCUUGAGUUUGAGAGCUGAUCCCUCUUUUGUUCUAGCAAGACCUGUGCUCUUGGGGUAAUUCUCAAAAUGCAUUUAUUAAAAAAAAUUUAAAGGAAGUGUCAGGGAACAUUAUUUUUUUACAUGUAUCUAACCUUUGUGUAGUGACAGUCUCCAUAUAUACUGUACUUCCAUAAAUGUUUUAUACUGGUAUAAGGGGACUUUAUGUAUUAACCUAUCAAGAUCAAAUAUUGUAGUUGGGCAACAUAUGAGAUGUGAAUAUAAAACAUUUCAUUCUGAAGUCGGAGUGUACUUUCUCUUGAUUCAGCUCAAAUAACGGCGCCAUUGAUUUAAAGAAAUGUUAUGACAUUUUUUUACGUGGUUGCGUCAUAUUUCUUUGCAUACUUUCCAUUGAAGCUUGCAUCACUGCAUGCUUCAAAAUAUGUACAAACGGAGUUUGCAUUUUGAGAAGUGCCCUCCAUGCUCCAUUUCGCAUGCUUUCAUUUGGAAUCGUACUCCGAUCCUCCCGUGCUCCAAUUUUCGUUGUAUGCAUUUUGAGAAUUACCCAUCGACUUUGACAGACCAUUUAAAUUUCUUGAAUCCUUCCUUCCAAAAUGAUUUUGUUCAUUUACUCAAUAGGGAUUUCACGUUUAUUUAUCUUGCUUGGUUAAAAUACAAUACUCUAAAACAGUCGAUUUGUUGACUCAUUUAAUCACGUUAAAACCCAUUUCCUUUUCUUUUGACUGUGUGCUACUACAGGCGGCAACCUGAUCUCAUAGCAUUUCUUAUUAUUCUUUAUGGAUAUUUUUAUGUGUAAGUAUUCAUUUGUGGAUGUCCAUCCCUUUCACAUAAUAUGUUAUGAGUUACAAUUCAUAUGGUAUGUUACGAAUUGCAGUUGUAUGAUAUGUUAUGAACGCAAUACGUAGGAUAUGUUGCCAAUUCCAAUUUGUUGUAACUAACGUUAGCUAGGUGUCUAAUGCUAACGUUAGCUAGGCUAGGGGUUACGGUUAGGAGUGAGGUGAAAGGGUUAAGGUUAGGAGUUAUGUUCAAUGUUAGUGUUAGGGGAAGUGUUAGCUAACAUGCAAAGUAGCUAAAAAAGUAGUAAGUAGAUGCAAAGCUGGUAAUUGGACAAAAUGCUAGUUGUCCAUGAGAUUUGAACACUCAAUUUUUGGGUUGCUAGACAUUUGCUUAUACGACUAACCAACCUCAUUUUUGCAUGAAAGGAGAAUUUUCCUCUUUCUGAAGUCAAUCUAAAUGUUUUAUGUAAAUGAAAUGUUAUAGUCGGUUCCAGACACUUUUUCUGUGAUUUGGCUUGUUUUUGAUAAACUUACCCCAGCUUCAAUUCACUUUCUCAUUGCUCUUUGUACAGCAUCAGGGAAUGCAAAAGACAUGAUUAAACUCCAAAAAUACAUAAACACAUCCUUUUAGUAAUGGACAUGCUCUCUUUAUAGUGAAGUCUAGGUUGUGCCCUGAUACUACACAACAAGCAAUGAGGAAGUGAAUCGCAGCCGGGGUAAGUUUAUCAAGAACAAGCCAAAUCACAUACAAAGUGUCUGGACCCUUCUAUAAUGUGCCAUUUACAUCAAAAAUAGAGAUUUACUUUAGAAAGAGGAAAAUUAUCCAGUAACCUUCUGUCUUAUGUAACCAAACUAAACGUAACAUAUCAUACUAAUAAACGUAACAUAUACUAAUUUCAGUGUCCCGGAUUUUAUUUUAGUAUGUUACGUCUAUAAGGGUCGAGUCUGGUAACUUGAAGUGAGCAUGCACAACUGAGGUUCUGUUUCUAUGUGUGUUUGGGAUUCAACCAUUUCCUGUAUGUGGUUCAUACCUAGAUUACUUAACAAAAUGAUUUGUUUUUUUUAGGCUAUGGUUUCUCAUGGCUGUUCUUCGAGGAAAUAUAGCGUAGCUAGCUAACUGCAGUGUUUGUUGUGUCUGAAAUCUGGCUACCUCCUUUUAUUGUAGCUGUAGCUUGGUUUGUACAAUGCAAAUAAAUGUGAGUUGCGUGGCAGUUUCCCAAAGUUUGGUGGUUUUAAUAGUAACGUAACUAACUAUGUAAAUUCAGCCUAAUUUACUGCCUUUAAAAUAAACAUAGCUGAUAUGGCUGACUUGCUUAAACAAAUGUGGUUUCUACUGACAAUUCAGAUGUACAAACUAUGGCAUAAGGGGACGACAAGUUUAUAAGAGGCAAUCCGUAAUUUCGAUUAAGACAUUAAUGAGCGAGGACGGACGUAGUCAAUAUAACUAUUUGUACAGCACUUUUGAAAUGUACAACAACAGAA